Molecule: ribosomal RNA, 228 nt
Filed under: Triticum aestivum (bread wheat)
Lineage: Eukaryota; Viridiplantae; Streptophyta; Magnoliopsida; Poales; Poaceae
Description: partial small subunit ribosomal RNA
Source: RNAcentral
AUGGAGGGGAAAGCUAUUCUUCUUUGCCUCACGGUGCUAGUCCUGCUAGGAGAUUCAAUUCAUGCUCGGUGCUAUGAAAAGCCUGCUUACUGGAUACCUUUGUAUUGCCUAGACGAAAAUUUCUGCCAGAACAAAUGCGUGAAGAAGUUCGGAAAGCUCGUGAAAGGUUCUUAUUGUAAAAUGACUGGAUUUUUCAUAGUCUCCUGUUUAUGUACGCUCUGCGAUUAG